GCAAGAUGAGAGUUUGAUCCUGGCUCAGAACGAACGCUGGCGGCGUGCUUAACACAUGCAAGUCGAACGCGAAAGUCUUCUUCGGGAGAUGAGUAGAGUGGCGCACGGGUGAGUAACGCGUAAGUAAUCUACCCUGGUAUUUGGGAUAACCCACCGAAAGGUGUGCUAAUACCGGAUACGCUGAUUUAUCAGGAAAGAUGGCCUCUUCAUGAAAGCUAUCGUACCAGGAGGAGCUUGCGUACCAUUAGCUAGUAGGUAGGGUAAAGGCCUACCUAGGCGACGAUGGUUAGCGGGUCUGAGAGGAUGAUCCGCCACACUGGAACUGAAACACGGACCAGACUCCUACGGGAGGCAGCAGUGAGGAAUAUUGCGCAAUGGGGGAAACCCUGACGCAGCGACGCCGCGUGGAUGAUGAAGGCCUUCGGGUCGUAAAAUCCUGUCAGAUGGGAAGAAGUGUUAUAUGUUUAAUACACAUAUAAUUUGACGGUACCAUCAAAGGAAGCACCGGCUAACUCCGUGCCAGCAGCCGCGGUAAUACGGAGGGUGCAAGCGUUAAUCGGAAUUACUGGGCGUAAAGCGUACGUAGGCGGCUUGUUAAGCAAGAUGUGAAAGCCCCGGGCUCAACCUGGGAAUGGCAUUUUGAACUGGCAGGCUCGAGUUUUGAAGAGGGUGGUAGAAUUUCCUGUGUAGCGGUGAAAUGCGUAGAUAUAGGAAGGAAUACCAGUGGCGAA
Molecule: ribosomal RNA, 731 nt
Filed under: uncultured bacterium
Lineage: Bacteria
Description: bacterial SSU rRNA
Rfam family: Bacterial small subunit ribosomal RNA
Source: RNAcentral